This 283-nucleotide long non-coding RNA is filed under the name Physcomitrium patens. RNAcentral's name for it is "long non-coding RNA (PPAT_LNC011969)". The record is from RNAcentral. Lineage: Eukaryota; Viridiplantae; Streptophyta; Bryopsida; Funariales; Funariaceae.
GAAUCUUCCUGUCCAUUUUCUUCAUAAACACCUAAAAUCCUCUCAUCAUCUUGCAAUGUACCUAACUUGCAUAAUUGUCCUUCAAUAUCAUAUAAUCUUUUUCUUUCUUUUCUUUUAAAAUCAUCAACUUUCUUAUACAUAAUAUUUCUAUUCUCCAAAAUAUCAAUAAAACUCGCAUCAAAGGCACCUUCAUCUCGCGAGAGUACCUCCUCUUUUGUACCUCCAUAAUCUCGCUUUACAGUGGUACCUCGCCAAAAUCCUUAAAUCCAUCAACAAUCUUUGG